RNAcentral lists this long non-coding RNA (851 nucleotides) under Equus caballus (horse). Its description in RNAcentral is "lncRNA (ENSECAG00000051963.1)". Lineage: Eukaryota; Metazoa; Chordata; Mammalia; Perissodactyla; Equidae. The record is from RNAcentral.
UUAGCAGCUUAGAACAGCGCCCAUUUAUUAUCUCGCAGGUUCUGUGGGUGAGGAGUCCUAGCACAGCUGAAUUCAGUCCUCUGCUCAGGGUCUCAGCAGGCUGCAAUAAAGGUGUCGGUCGGGGUGGGGUCCUCUCCCAAGCUCGUGUGGUUGUUGGAAGAAUUCAUUUCCUUACAGCUGAGAAUUCACAGCAGCUUCUUCAAGACCAGCAGGAGAGUGUCUCUCUCCUCCAGACCCUCCUUUAAGGGCUCACCUGAUUAGGUCAGGCCCACCCUGAAUAAUCUCCUUCUGAAUAACUCGAAGUGAACUGAUUAGGAACCUUAAUUACAUCUGCAAAGUCCCUUCAACUUUUCCAAGUUCUGUUGGUUAGAAGCCAGCCACAGGUCCCGCCCAUGCACAAGGAGAGAGAAUCAUACAAGGCACAUAUACCAGGGCGCUGGAAACUUGGGGGCCACUUAGAAUUUUGCCUACCAGAAAUAGGUCCUUGGUGGGGCUCCAAUAACCAGGAGGCUGCCAAAACAGAGAACCACAAAGAGGGUGGCUGAGAACAACAGAAAUUUUCCCUCUCACUGAAGUCUGAAAUCAAGAUGUGGACAGAGCCACGCUCCCUCUGAAACCUGGAGGGAAUUCUUCUUGUCUCUUCCUAGCUUCUCGGGGUCCGCUGGCGAUCCUUGCCGAGCCUUGGCUUGUAUCACCCCCAUCCUCCGUCCAACCCGUGGAGCUCUCCUGUGUCUCUCUCUCUGCAUGGCCAUCUUCUAGGGACACCAGUUAUUUGGAUUAGGGGCCCACCCCACUCCAGUAUGACCUCACCUCUGCAAUGGCCCUAUUUCCAAAUAAGGUCACAGUCUGAG